GUCACUUGAUUGCUUUUCCUGAACUGGUGUGAAACCUGUAUCUCAAAUAAUAAGGUAUUUAAUGGAAUGUGUUCUUGCUAAUUGAUGGAAGCUAUUGAAUUAGAGAAUUAAACGGGUGAGGUUAGCAUAGAAAGAAAAAUAAGAAUGAACUCGUGUUUGGAAGCAAAAAGGCAAAUUAAAAAUGUAAUAUGAUCAAUUCUUCACUUGAAGUAAUUUCUGUAAAUUUUCAUCUCGUACUACUAAAUCUUAUUCUGAUUGUUAAUAUAAGCUGUGAUAAUUUGAAUAUGAAUUGUGUUUAAAUGACCGAUUACCUCAGCAUAAGGUGUAACCAGAAGACUACUAAGAGCAUGCUAGAGAAGCAAGAAUACUAAAAUAAUCUCCAAUGGUACUUUGAAUUGUGCAGUAAUCCAGUGAUUACCAUGAAGCACACCAAAAUGGUAACCCCCUCUGUGAUAGGCUUCGAAUUAGCAAUGAAGUACUAGAUAAGAUUAGCUUGGUAAGCCAUGAUUUUAAAAUUAAAGAAUAAGACAUGUCAAUACUUAAAAGAUUUUCUGCUAUGGAAAAUGCUCCUGUAACAGGGAAGCUGACCGCCUCCCUGACAGGAGCCCCACAAAUGGGGGUGGGGCCCGCAAAAAAACAUGGGCACUCCCCCCUAUUUGUGGGGUUCGGUCAGGGGGCGGUCAGCCCCCUGUUCUUGUAGCACGCCCCUUCUGUUAUUGGGGCAACAUUCAAAACUGUGUUGAUUUAUAAAUUAGCACCAUAGAUUUUUCCCAACAUCCACCAAAUUCUUAGUCCUUGACAAGGAAAUCCAAGACAAUCAUAAUCAGUAGGUAGGCAAACACCUAAAAAUAUUUCACAAGAUCUUCUUUCCUCCCAAACCACCAAGAAAAAAUGUGAUCGUUACAAGACCUUGACAUUGCUUUGUUUGAAUUCUGAAGUAAAUAUAGGGAAGCAUAUAAUGCAAAGCAACCUUAAUCUUUUAACGACAAGAAUAAGAAUUUGUACCCAUGCCAACAGAAUUAAUUGGUUAUUCAAUAUCUUUCUUUGCUUAUUUUCCAUAGAUUUAUUUGGGGAAUGUCAACUGGGAGGGUUAAAUUGCAUGAAUAGUAUGAGAAUACAUAUAAAGAAACAGUUUAUGCUACAAAAAUUAUAAGUAAACUUAAUUAAACUACAGUGGCUAAGCAUAUAGUGAUCAGAAAUUACCGCGACAGUUGAAGUAAAUUAAAAUAAAAUAAAAAUGAUUUUCAGGGCAAUGCUGUCGAUAAAAAUAGUCACAAACAAAAUCCAUUUGAACAGUGAACUCAUAACAUUAUUCCCAGUAUGCAUUACAUGGACUACAAAACUCACCUAUCAAGAAAAUGGAAAUAUAGAGUUAAGAAGAAGAACCAAACCUGUACACAUGAUGCUCCACGAAUCAACCUCAUACAUGAAGUAUGCAUGAUAACGCUGUCAAUCAAAUAGAAACAAGAAAAAUGAACACAGAGAAUGACACUAAGAUGCAACAACCCUUCCAAUGUCCAAUUAUGAUAGUGAAUCAAACCAAUUCAAACCGAGCUUAAUAUAAUCUUAGGCCACACUGAAUUUUAGACUAAAGAAUAAAUUGAAAUCGAAGCCAAAAAUGAGCCAUAAUAGGUAGGCUUAUAUAAGGCUAGUGCUCAUAUCAGAUAAGGUCAACGUUAUAAAUUUAUACCAAUAUUUUUUUUUAAUAAUCUAAGUUAUUCACAUCUUAACAUGUGAAAUUAUAAAGACAUAAAAGUGAAAAUUUAUACUUACCACUCAGGUUUUGGCUUCAUUUUGUUGGGAAACAAGAUGCUGUCUACUAAUAUGAAUUGGAAUUGAACUGAUUUUCAUUUUUUCAGAACAAAGAAUUCCCUUUCAACUUAGUGAAUUUUAGUUUUCUAUUGUAUUUCAUGUUUCAUAUAAAACUCGAUUGUACUUGUAAGUUAUAACAUAUUCAACAUUCAUGCAGUAUUUUUAAAAUGAAGGAUUUAUGUGUUUUAGGUUAAUGACCAAUUUGUGAGAGAAUCUAGCAUUACUCAUAAGUUCUCACGACUUCAGAAUGAGGGUGAACUAAGAAAAACUUAAUCCUUUGUCCUUGUUGACGCCUCUACUAUUCAUUAACUUUAGUCUCUUUUUUAUUUUUAUUUUUUCUGGCAAAGGAGGUCGUACACAAAGAAUUUAAUGUUUGACUAAAUAUGUGAUUUUGAUAUUCCCAUUAACUUUUCUUAGACGAUUAUUCACCAAAUUAUGAAUAUCGAGACAGAUAUUUCAAACAUCCUAGUGCAUCCUUCAUUCGUGUAUAAGGAAGGUAGUGAUAGUACUUUAUGGCAGUGCCCACAAAUGUUUAUAUCUCAAGAUCUGUUUAAAGUUCAGUAAUAUUAAUUUGCACACACCAGCUGAUCAACAUUCAUACACACGACCACAUUUGGAUGAGAGGAAAAUGUUGGAUAAGAGCUUGGGAUGCAUAAUUAAUCCAAUUAUGAGUAAGUUUGGUUCUAAUUAUGGUCUCAGAUUAUGCAGAGACCACCAAUUUUGCUUAAAAUCUUGCAACAUCAAUAGCACAGAAUUUAUCAUACCUUGCAAAAGAUUUGAUUUCAUUAGACAUAACAGUAAACGUACUGCUAUAUUGCUAAAUCUAAAACCCUAAAUGCAUUGAACAGUAUGAAAGAAGAAGGAUACCUAUAGGUAGCUACAUGUUCAUUGAGAAUAAAGUUUAGCUUAUGUUUUUGAUAAAUUCUUAUCUUGUCAACCAAGCAUUUCACAAUUUGUCUCUGAACAUCCAUGUGAUGCAACUUCAAGACAUUGAAAUGUGGUCAAAUUAGAUAUUUCUUUUGGAUUAUCAUAUUCAUGUUCUUAACUUCAAGACAUUGAAAUGUCAAGAAGAGUUCGAACUAUCUUAUUAUAUAUAUGUUUUCAGAGAGAGUUAUUGUACUAGGAAACAAAAUUUAUGUUGGAUUCCAUUUAAGACAUAUUACGACUAAGAACAUUAUUCAUAUUGUCAAUGCGACUUUUUGUACCCUGAAAUUCUUAACAAAUCCCUGUGAUUUGAUGUUGGAAAAGAAGUCACUGCCGUCCCUAGCGAUUUGACAACUUGACAUUUGACAUCUUUAUAAGUUUCUAGCAAUUUAUUUUUGUUGGACAACUUCUAUGCUAUAUCCCAGUUUUGCUCUACGAAUGGAUAAAGAGUGAGAGUUGGUAUACACGGUCUAUUGGAAUAAAGAGCAUGUUUUUUUGCUGGAGCAUUUGGAAGCUCAUAACAUCUUCUUUUGAGCGAAACAAUGGCAAAAUACUCCAUUCCACACUGAAUAUAUUUUUAUUUUGCUUAUGUAUUUUAUGUUUAGUUAUAUUAAUAAUGAAUAAUAUUAAAAAAAUGUAUAAAUAAAUAAAAACAUGGAAAUAUUUUAAUCCAUUUGCAAUAUCCACCUAGUUCUAGAAUUCCUUAACCAUUUGUAUGAGUGUUAUUGGACUAAGGUCACACCUCUCAUUGUGGGCAUUGAUUGUGCUAAAAUUAGAAAAUCUAAUUCUAUAACAUUGAUAUUUAUAUAAUCGUAGAAAGAAAAUGGACAUACAAGAAAAUGCAAAAUUUAUAAGUUCGCAUCAAUGUGAUAUUACAUCCUUUAACACCACGCAAAAAUUUAUUAUGAUGUAAAUAAGUUUACAAGAGAAAAAUGGAUCUCACUCACCAUUUUUCUCUAACAUAUAUUUCUCUUCUGAUAAUGAUAUUUAAACUCUAUUGAUGGCUCUUUAUUUAUAAGAGAAAAUUAGAAAAUUUGAAAGUACAAAUGUUAAAUUCCUAAUAAUAAUUAGGCUCCAUAACUUAAUAUUCUUCUACUAGAGACUAAUCCAAUAUCAAUGCCUCCUCUACAGUUGCAAUAACUCUUCAAUCCUCAAGAAAGAAAUUAAACUAAAGUUGUGUGCAACUUUAGUUUCUCAAUUGGAAUAGUCAUUGUCAACAUGGUAGCCGAUUUAUAGAAUCUUCUCAAGUAUCAAGAUUUCAUCCUCCAAAAUCGAUUUGAUGAAGUGAUAGUGAACUUAUAUAUGCUUCAUCCUUGCAUAAUUAAACAUGAUUACUUGCUAAGUAAAUAGCACUCUGACGAUCACAAUAUAAUACAAAUAUUUCUUAGUUAUGACCCAAUUCUUUCAAGACAAACUACAACCAUAUCAUUAGUUCGCUAGUGUUAGUCACAACAACAUACUCUGCCAGAGCAGUGAAAAGAGAGAUUAUCUUCAGUAGUUUAGAAACCAAAUUAACUACCAUACCACCUUAAGUGUGCAUAUUAAAAGUAGCUUUUUGUUGAUGACCACGGAAGCAAUUCCAGAAUAGAAUCGUUAUAACUAUUACUCUUUUCAGCUGGCAUUAUGUGUCACAUUAAAUUUUUGGUCUAUUUUCCCAAAAGUGAAUUUCAUGCAAGUUAUUUUUGUAGUACUUGGGAUGUAGGAAUACCUAUUCUCAUCUGCGAACUUAACUUGGCUGCAAGAGGUUAAGAACAAAUAAUCGAGUUUGUGUUUUGCAAGGUAGCCAUAAUUUUUCUUUUUGUGCAUGGCAAAAUGAAAUUUAACGAUUUAAAAUUUUAUUCAAAAAUUUAUUAACCAAUCUUUUCUAUAAAACACACAGGAGUUUUCGCAAGAUUAGUCAAUUGUAUAAAAUAAAAAGCAUUUACCUUUUGCAGAGGAGUGUAUAAUGCUAACAAUAAGAAUGAAGAACCCUACAAAUGAAACACACACACACAUCUUAAGUUUAGUAAGUUUCACAAUCGAAGGUGAUAAUUUACACAAGAUUUGAACUUCACUAUUACUACUCAAACAGGCCUAAUUUUGAACACAUAAAGUGGAAAUUGAAAAAUUCCAGCACAAUAUUGGGGGGGGGGGGGGGGGGGGACUAUACAACAAGAGGUUCCAUGUAGUNNNNNNNNNNNNNNNNNNNNNNNNNNNNNNNNNNNNNNNNNNNNNNNNNNNNNNNNNNNNNNNNNNNNNNNNNNNNNNNNNNNNNNNNNNNNNNNNNNNNNNNNNNNAUUUCACUAUUGUUUAAUAGAUACCUAAAUCCCCAAAUGAAGCAACUAUAGAAAUUGAGGAUUUACCUUUCCAGACCUAUAUCAAUUCCAUAUAAAUAACCAAAGUUAGCUUUACGGAGCUUCUCUUUCAAAUUCUCAAACCAAUCUCACGGAUUAUGAGAAGACAAUGUUUAGAAAAAAAAAAAAGUAUUUAGUUCUCAUUUCAAUUCAAAAGUACCAUGAGAGACGCAUAAGAAUAGCCCAAACGGUGAUAGACCAACAACUCCAAGUCUUGAUACUCAUGGCACCCUAAGGGUGAUCUGACGAUAAUUAUAUGACCAAGGAUUGGUUCACACUGGGGAUUCUAUUAUUGGUUCGUACCAACCAAUAAGACUUCCUUAACACCCAGGUACAUAUGGAACACUAACCUUUGGAAUUCAACAAAAAUACACUAAUGUGCAGUUGACCACUAUGAACUCCUAAGUGGUAUCUACAUGCUUUAAUACAGCUCGAGGCAUGAGCACCACAAGUUGUAGACUGGUUUGGAGUGGGCCUAAAUGACAUACCAAGUAGACACUAGCAGUGCGCCACUGCUCAUUGUAGGAAUUGGGCAUCGCAUUUUGGAGAUGGUUGCUAUCUUGUGGGAGAGAAAAGAUAAUAAAAUACAAGCUUAACAUUUACUAUCCCUAUCUUUUACAUUUUUUGUUAUUUGUUGUACUAUUGAAUUCAUUAGCCAGGAAGUACAAUGGCAUAAACACUACUUGAAGAGCCUUUACCAUGCCAUCCAUUAUUUCAGGUUCACUAAGAGGUUCAUCCACCUGAAUACAAUAUCGUACUUGUUCCCAAGCUUUUGAUGUACUUUAUUACAAUGCUUUAUGCCUAGAAAAUUUACAAAAGCAAAAAGUUAGCAAUAUAUCCAACCAACAAAAGUUUCAACGAUUCACAAUAGAUUGAAGGACUUAUUUUACAAAUUCGACAUGAUUCUGAUGUCAAUAUCACAUCCAUGCCAAAUCUUAUAUAGCAUUCUACAAUCUUAUUAUCAUUCAUCGCCACAACUAUAUCAAUAAAUCAGCACCCAAUUAGAAACCACAGAAACCAAAAACUUCAACAUAAUUCUGUUGAUAUCUUUUGAUUUAUAAAUAAACAUAAAUAGAGCAAAUGAAGUGGACCUCUGCCAACUUCAUCCAAUGAUGAUGCCAUUUUUGCCCUUUCCCAUGAUCUCUGUAAUUGAGGAUUGAAAUGUAAAUAAUCAUAUAUCCAUAACAUUGUAGUCUCCACUAUUUAAAUAUCCAUUUCAUUUUUCCAAUUAUCCUUUUAGUGGACAUGAAAAUUACACACAAUUAUAUCUGACGUAAAACAAAUUGUUUGAUAAACCAAUAAGGACAGAUAAAUUCUAUGUAUAACAACAAAAAUGCAAAUGAAUAAAAUUUAUGUGAACAUGUGAUCCAAAACCUUAGGCCUUCAUGAAGUGGACACAUUUAUUUAUUUAAAUUUGAUAUUCAAAAGCCCCAUGAAUUCAUUUUAUCAUCAGCAUAUCACUUGCAAAAGUUUCAUGAAUUGGUGGCAGCAAGUAUGAACCCAGGUCUUUGUCCUAUCUCUAUCACCAUGUUAUCUAUUUCAUCUGAAUGAUCAAUGUGUAAGCAGACUACAUUCACAGUAGUGCAAUUAAAAGCCUGAAUGAUACUACAAAUUUGACAGAGAUAGCAAAGCAAAAAUAAUGUCAAUUGAGAUAUAAAUGAAGACGGACAUAAUAAAAAUACCUUGCACUGCCAUAUAUAGCAGGUUCCAACUUAAAGAGCUUUCUAAGAUUUCAAGAACCAUAAGGUAAAUCAACCACCCAACUGCACAAGUAUUAAUAAGAGCUUCUUGUAAACAUAGAUAGUAAAAUAAUAUUUAACUCUGUCAACAACACAUUACUACCUUUAAUAUCUCUAUGUACGUUGAAAAUUGAGUGCAAGUAUGAUAAACCCUGCAUUAGAUAAUAUAGAUAUAGUUUCAGCAAAAUAUAAGAAACAGCCAGAAAGAAAUAUAUCAGAGAUGUCCAUAUUGUCAAUUUUGGCAUGUCCCAACGUUAAUGACAAUUUUUUCUUAAUAUUUUUUUCUCAAAUUACCCACUGAUUCAGCUUAUUUUAUACAUCAUGGGAACAGGUAUUCUCACCUUUUGCAUUUCAGUAAAAGAAGAUUAGUAUGGAAAAGUAUGUGGUAAUUAUCAAACUCUAAAAUAAAACAUUCGUGCCAAGUCAUGAUAUAUUUUAACCUUGGAUGGUCAAGCAUUAUCUCAUGGACAAAAUCAUUCCCUAUUACCCAAUAACAAUCCCAGCAUUUUUAAGGACACAUUUAUACAAAUCUGUAGUAAAGAUAAAAAAGUUCGAUUUUGAAAUAUAACUAACCAAAAUGAUGGUACCUUCAGUGCCUCUCUGCAGAUAUAUGCUAUUUUACACUCCUCUAGAGGCUAAGGCCUUUCAUCAAGUCAGCAACACUCCUGCCCCCAAAAUAAUCCAUUACAAUAUGCCAACAAAUACAAAAUUCUCAGAUAUUUAAAUUCAUGUGAAUAACUAACAGUUGUCAUCUGAUUUAGAAACCAAACGGAGGGGGCACACAGCAUCAUGGUCUCGGUACCAUCCCAAAAAGAUAAAAAAUUAUUAUAUAAUUGAAGGCCGAUGAUCUUCUUCAUACCCAAUGCUAUUCUUCUCCUUGGUAGCUACCUAGAUAGCAAACAAUGUUAGGGUGACUACAUUGCUGCAACAUCUCAAUUUCACCACGAAUUUCUUCAUAACCAUCCUAUAAUUAUGAGAUUUCAAACUUCAUAUUCCAUCCACUAAACUUAUGUAGUAUUAUUAUAUGCAAUUAAAAAAAAGGAUUAUAAUUAGGUCCCCUUCAGCUAAUGAUAUCACUUUGAUAGCAACCAAUUCUGAAGUCCUUGUAUCUCGAGCUAUGUAGCAACAAAUUCUGAAGUCCUAAUAAAGAGAAUUCAUGGAAAAAAAGAAAUACUAAAAUUGAUUAUACUGAAAACUAAAAUAUGCCUCAUAUCAUCACCUAAGAAUCCCAAAAACAAACAAGUCAACAAAUACACCAGAAAAAUCAGUCUUCCAAAUACCAUUAACGAAACUAUCCUACGUAUUUGCUGUUUCCGCUUAAUACCAACAUCUAGGAGUCAUCGAAUUUAAAGAAAAGAAUAAAUAAAUUAACUAAGGAGCCGAAAUCGUACAGUAACGGUGACAGUUUCUUUAGCUUUACUUGGAGGGGUAGUAGCGGAUGCCGUGCUGGGGUUGUAAAACGACGUCGUGGAAGAAAUCGUAGAUGAAUGAGUGGUGGGCCGAUCGUGGUGUUUAGGUGGCACAGUAGAUGAAGAUGUCGGCGGUGGAAGUGUUUUUGGGAACGGAAAUGGGAGAUUGCAGACGGAAGUUCAAGGGAUUUUAUGCUUUUGUUCGUUGUAAUGUAGAAGAAAGAGAAAUAGAGCCGAUGGUGGUGUUUAGGUGGCACGGCCGACGAAGACGACGGUGUGUUUUUGGGGAACGGAAAGGGGAGAUUGCAGCCCAAAAGUUCAAGGUUUUUUUCCUUUUCUUUUUUGCUGCAGAGAAGAAAGGCCCUGCUUUUGGAGGAAAUACAUAAAAAUCGCUCUUCCACUCUAGUAAAAAUUGAUAUUGGC
Molecule: long non-coding RNA, 8640 nt
Filed under: Olea europaea (common olive)
Lineage: Eukaryota; Viridiplantae; Streptophyta; Magnoliopsida; Lamiales; Oleaceae
Description: long non-coding RNA (OEUR_LNC008633)
Source: RNAcentral